Molecule: non-coding RNA, 112 nt
Organism: Alligator sinensis (Chinese alligator)
Lineage: Eukaryota; Metazoa; Chordata; Crocodylia; Alligatoridae
Source: Rfam
GGAGCUGGUCAAUUCAAACCGUACAAAUCUUUCACCUUUUACUAAAGAUUUCAGUGAAGAGGAACAGUUACAAGUUUUGACCCAAUUUUUUGAGGUCACCCAAGUUCAACCC